RNAcentral lists this long non-coding RNA (481 nucleotides) under Vigna radiata. RNAcentral describes it as "long non-coding RNA (VRAD_LNC016323)". Lineage: Eukaryota; Viridiplantae; Streptophyta; Magnoliopsida; Fabales; Fabaceae. The record is from RNAcentral.
CUGGGUUGUCAUGCAUAUGUGAUAUGGUGUUGUUCAAGCUUCCAAACCAGAUUUUGUUAACAAAUGUUACAUAAACUGAUGUUAGAAGUGAUGUGAUGAGUAUGUCUCUUGAAAAUGUUUUCAUUUUUGGAAUAUUACUCAUCCUCACUCUUUUCAACUUAGGCAAAGAUAAAGUUGUACUUUGCCUGUAGAAACUAGUCAACAUGGGAAGAUCCAUCAUUACAAGACAUUCUAGUUUGGGAAAAAUGAUGGAUAUAUUUUCAUCUUCAGAUAUCUCACUAGAUAUGACUUCUUCUAUUUUAUCACAUUUACACAAUCUGAGUAUUUUGAGUUUCCCAAGAUUUUUUAUUGAAGAAAGUGAGAAUAAACUUUUGAGGUUGUGACAGUAGAAAAUGUAAAUUGAUACCAAAUUUGAGAAAAAUGAAACUUGAGGUUCCUUAUUCCAUAGAUACUUCAAUUUGAUUAGGUUAAUCAAUGCCAA